Molecule: ribosomal RNA, 407 nt
Filed under: Actinomycetales bacterium oral taxon C05
Lineage: Bacteria; Bacillati; Actinomycetota; Actinomycetes; Actinomycetales
Description: bacterial SSU rRNA
Rfam family: Bacterial small subunit ribosomal RNA
Source: RNAcentral
GACGAACGCUGGCGGCGUGCUUAACACAUGCAAGUCGAACGGAAAGGCUCCAGCUUGCUGGAGUACUCGAGUGGCGAACGGGUGAGUAACACGUGGGUAAUCUGCCCUGCACUCUGGGAUAAGCCUGGGAAACUGGGUCUAAUACUGGAUAUGACCUUUCUCCUUAUGGGGUUUGGUGGAAAGUUUUUCGGUGUAGGAUGAGCCCGCGGCCUAUCAGCUUGUUGGUGGGGUGAUGGCCUACCAAGGCGACGACGGGUAGCCGGCCUGAGAGGGUGAUCGGCCACAUUGGGACUGAGAUACGGCCCAGACUCCUACGGGAGGCAGCAGUGGGGAAUAUUGCACAAAUGGGCGGAAAGCCCUGAUGCAAGCGACGCCCGCGUGAAGGGAAUGGACGGCCUUUCGGGUUG